Molecule: ribosomal RNA, 509 nt
Filed under: Orthotylinae gen. ZANCGEN1 sp. Msp319
Lineage: Eukaryota; Metazoa; Arthropoda; Insecta; Hemiptera; Miridae
Description: partial large subunit ribosomal RNA
Rfam family: Bacterial large subunit ribosomal RNA (bases 382-509)
Source: RNAcentral
GGUCUUUUGUUUAUAUAAAAGAUUUGGCCUGCUCAGUGAUUUUUUAAAUAGCUGCAGUAUUUUGACUGUACAAAGGUAGCAUAAUCAUUUGUCUUUUAAUUGAGGUCUGGAAUGAAUGGUUUGAUGAAAAAUAUACUUUAUUUAUUUUUGAUAAAAAAUUUAAUUUUUAAGUUAAAAAGCUUUGAAAUUUUUUUAUAGGACGAGAAGACCCUAUAGAGCUUUAUUUAUAUAUUUUUAUAUUUUUGUGGAUUAUAUAUUUUUAAUGAAAAUAUAUAAAUUUUGUUGGGGUGACAAAAAAAAUAUUAUAACUUUUUUUAAUUUUUACAUUAAUGGAUGUAUUUUUGAUCCUUUAUUUUGGAAAAAAGAAUAAGCUACCUUAGGGAUAACAGCGUUAUUAUUUCGGAGAGUUCAUAUUGAUGGAAUAGUUUGCGACCUCGAUGUUGGAUUAAAAUAAGAUAUGGAUGUAGAAUGUUAUAUUCUUGGUCUGUUCGACCUUUAAAUUUUUACAU